Molecule: ribosomal RNA, 495 nt
Filed under: uncultured bacterium
Lineage: Bacteria
Description: partial 16S ribosomal RNA
Rfam family: Bacterial small subunit ribosomal RNA
Source: RNAcentral
GACGAACGCUGGCGGCGUGCCUAAUACAUGCAAGUAGAACGCUGAAGGAGGAGCUUGCUCUUCUGGAUGAGUUGCGAACGGGUGAGUAACGCGUAGGUAACCUGCCUGGUAGCGGGGGAUAACUAUUGGAAACGAUAGCUAAUACCGCAUAAUAGUAGAUGUUGCAUGAUAUUUACUUAAAAGGUGCAAUUGCACCACUACCAGAUGGACCUGCGUUGUAUUAGCUAGUUGGUGGGGUAACGGCUCACCAAGGCGACGAUACAUAGCCGACCUGAGAGGGUGAUCGGCCACACUGGGACUGAGACACGGCCCAGACUCCUACGGGAGGCAGCAGUAGGGAAUCUUCGGCAAUGGACGAAAGUCUGACCGAGCAACGCCGCGUGAGUGAAGAAGGUUUUCGGAUCGUAAAGCUCUGUUGUAAGAGAAGAACGAGUGUGAGAGUGGAAAGUUCACACUGUGACGGUAUCUUUCCAGAAAGGGACGGCUAACUACGUG